RNAcentral lists this long non-coding RNA (944 nucleotides) under Olea europaea (common olive). RNAcentral describes it as "long non-coding RNA (OEUR_LNC000210)". Lineage: Eukaryota; Viridiplantae; Streptophyta; Magnoliopsida; Lamiales; Oleaceae. The record is from RNAcentral.
GGUGGUACCACUGACUAUAAUUAAAGGUCGUGUGGCAUUUCGAAAUCCUCAAAUUCAUUGUCUAAGAGCUAUAAAAAAAUAUUUGAAGCGAUUCUCCCCGUUAGUACCAAUAAAAAAUGUCGAGUCAGGAUUAGUUCUCCACAUGUUAUAGAAAUAACUAGUCAAUUUAGCAUAACUCUUUUCGAUUUAAACAAUCAAAUUUUUCGAUGUACAAUCGUUUAGCCUUCCAAGCCUUCUGGUGGUUCAUGACCAUCCUACACUCCCGAUGGAUGUCGUUGAUGAUGUCUGUAAAUCGUCUGUGUAUCCCAAAACUUAUGUGCAUUAUAUGUCGACCAAUAAAUUAUAAUCGAGCUGCCUGUGAUAAUUUUGACGAAUACACACUUCACAAGUAUGUUAUUAUAUAUACUUGCAAACUACAAAGAACUCAUUCAUGUCUAUCUUUGUCACUCUCAACCGCUAAUUGCAAUUGUUGUCCACACAAAUAAUUUUGUAAAUAGAUUUGUUUGAUUUCUUUACUUCAAACUCAAAGUUAUAUUUCAUUGUAAUCCAGUGCACAAUUUCUAGCAAAUCUCUCUUCGUGUCAAACUGUUGAUUGAUAUGCAAAUCUUCAUCAUCGAGAACCACAUACAAACGAUUAGAAGAAUGUGUACUCGACUUGACUUAUGAACUCCAACCCCACUCAUGUCUCGAUUGGAUAAAGUAAUCAAAUCCUGAUUUGUAAAUUGUAUUUCUUUCUCGUUGUCUUGAAUCACCUUGUGAAUUCUGUGUGCAACAGUGAGAUCAUAUUGAGUAGCAACUGUCUCGAGUAUCAAUGCCAAUGAAUGCAAUGGAUCUGAUUUACAUGAUGGAAAACAUAUACAUUCGGAUGAGUCAAUAUCUCAACUUCGUGCCUAAAAUCUAGGUGAAAUUCACAUGCAAUCCAUGGACUCACAAUUUAAGCCCCG